UACGUAGGGCGCGAGCGUUGUCCGGAAUUAUUGGGCGUAAAGAGCUCGUAGGCGGCCUGUUGCGUCCGCUGUGAAAUCCCGGGGCUCAACCCUGGGCGUGCAGUGGAUACGGGCAGGCUGGAGGCAGGCAGGGGAGAACGGAAUUCCCGGUGUAGCGGUGAAAUGCUUAGAUAUGACAUAGAACACCGAUUGCGAAGGCAGCUAACUACAGGGAUAUUGACACUGAGGCACGAAAGCGUGGGGAUCAAACAGG
RNAcentral lists this ribosomal RNA (253 nucleotides) under uncultured bacterium. Its description in RNAcentral is "partial 16S ribosomal RNA". It matches the Rfam family "Bacterial small subunit ribosomal RNA", at positions 524 to 776 of the family's 1533-position model. The record is from RNAcentral.